Molecule: ribosomal RNA, 366 nt
Filed under: uncultured bacterium
Lineage: Bacteria
Description: bacterial SSU rRNA
Rfam family: Bacterial small subunit ribosomal RNA
Source: RNAcentral
AACGAACGCUGGCGGCAUGCCUAACACAUGCAAGUCGAACGGGAUCCAGGCUUCGGCCUGGUGAGAGUGGCGGACGGGUGAGUAACGCGUGGGAACCUGCCCAAUGGUCUGGGAUAACCGCGGGAAACUGCGGCUAAUACCGGAUAAGCCCGAGAGGGGAAAGAUUUAUCGCCGAUGGAGGGCCCGCGUCAGAUUAGGUAGUUGGUGGGGUAAUGGCCUACCAAGCCUACGAUCUGUAGCNGGUCUGAGAGGAUGAUCAGCCACACUGGGACUGAGAUACGGCCCAGACUCCUACGGGAGGCAGCAGUGGGGAAUAUUGGACAAUGGGGCAACCCUGAUCCAGCAAUGCCGCGUGAGUGAUGAAGG